Molecule: ribosomal RNA, 253 nt
Filed under: uncultured bacterium
Lineage: Bacteria
Description: partial 16S ribosomal RNA
Rfam family: Bacterial small subunit ribosomal RNA
Source: RNAcentral
UACGUAGGGGGCAAGCGUUGUCCGGAAUCAUUGGGCGUAAAGCGCGUGUAGGCGGCUUGGUAAGUCUGCUCUGAAAGCCCGGGGCUCAACCCCGGGAGGCGGGUGGAUACUGUCAAGCUCGAGUCCGGAAGAGGAGUGUGGAAUUCCUGGUGUAGCGGUGAAAUGCGUAGAUAUCAGGAGGAACACCUGUGGUGUAGACAGCUUACUGGACCACUUCUGACGCUGAGACACGAAAGCGUGGGUAGCAAACAGG